GGAGAGAUGGCCGAGUGGCUUAAGGCAACGGUCUUGAAAACCGUCGAUGGGAAACCAUCCCAGAGUUCGAAUCUCUGUCUCUCCGCCA
This 88-nucleotide transfer RNA is filed under the name Pantoea sp. RNAcentral's name for it is "tRNA-Ser". It matches the Rfam family "tRNA". Rfam says of the family: Transfer RNA (tRNA) molecules are approximately 80 nucleotides in length. Their secondary structure includes four short double-helical elements and three loops (D, anti-codon, and T loops). Further hydrogen bonds mediate the characteristic L-shaped molecular structure. tRNAs have two regions of fundamental functional importance: the anti-codon, which is responsible for specific mRNA codon recognition, and the 3' end, to which the tRNAs corresponding amino acid is attached (by aminoacyl-tRNA synthetases). tRNAs cope with the degeneracy of the genetic code in two manners: having more than one tRNA (with a specific anti-codon) for a particular amino acid; and 'wobble' base-pairing, i.e. permitting non-standard base-pairing at the 3rd anti-codon position. Lineage: Bacteria; Pseudomonadati; Pseudomonadota; Gammaproteobacteria; Enterobacterales; Erwiniaceae. RNAcentral also lists the same sequence under 3 other names. The record is from RNAcentral.